Molecule: transfer RNA, 75 nt
Filed under: Desulfuromonas sp.
Lineage: Bacteria; Pseudomonadati; Thermodesulfobacteriota; Desulfuromonadia; Desulfuromonadales; Desulfuromonadaceae
Description: tRNA-Pro
Source: RNAcentral
CCGGGCAUGGAUAGACAUUAAGUCGCUUGCUUCGGGAGCAUGGGGUAGGAGGUUCAAAUCCUCUCGCCCCGACCA